GACGGCAAUAGCGCCGUGGAACCACCUGAUCCCAUGCCGAACUCAGAAGUGAAACGCGGUAGCGUCGAUGGUAGUGUGGCAUUCGCCAUGCGAG
Molecule: ribosomal RNA, 94 nt
Filed under: Aeromonas dhakensis
Lineage: Bacteria; Pseudomonadati; Pseudomonadota; Gammaproteobacteria; Aeromonadales; Aeromonadaceae
Source: RNAcentral